Molecule: ribosomal RNA, 449 nt
Filed under: uncultured bacterium
Lineage: Bacteria
Description: bacterial SSU rRNA
Rfam family: Bacterial small subunit ribosomal RNA
Source: RNAcentral
GUGGGGAAUAUUGGGCAAUGGGCGCAAGCCUGACCCAGCCACGCCGCGUGAGUGAUGAAGGCCUUCGGGUCGUAAAGCUCUGUGGGAGGGGACGAAAGCCCCUUGGCUAAUAUCCAAGGGUUUGACGGUACCCUUUUAGCAAGCACCGGCUAACUCCGUGCCAGCAGCCGCGGUAAUACGGAGGGUGCAAACGUUGCUCGGAAUCAUUGGGCGUAAAGCGCACGUAGGCGGCGCGCUAAGUUGGAUGUGAAAGCCCUCGGCUUAACCGAGGAAGUGCAUACAAAACUGGCGUGCUUGAGUACAAAAGAGGAUCGCGGAAUUCCCGGUGUAGAGGUGAAAUUCGUAGAUAUCGGGAGGAACACCAGCGGCGAAGGCGGCGAUCUGGGUUGAUACUGACGCUGAUGUGCGAAAGCGUGGGGAGCAAACAGGAUUAGAAACCCGAGUAGUCC